GGCCAAUCAAACCGGGAGAUAGCUGGUUCUCCCCGAAAGCUAUUUAGGUAGCGCCUCGUGAAUUCAUCUCCGGGGGUAGAGCACUGUUUCGGCUAGGGGGCCAUCCCGGCUUACCAACCCGAUGCAAACUGCGAAUACCGGAGAAUGUUAUCACGGGAGACACACGGCGGGUGCUAACGUCCGUCGUGAAGAGGGAAACAACCCAGACCGCCAGCUAAGGUCCCAAAGUCAUGGUUAAGUGGGAAACGAUGUGGGAAGGCCCAGACAGCCAGGAUGUUGGCUUAGAAGCAGCCAUCAUUUAAAGAAAGCGUAAUAGCUCACUGGUCGAGUCGGCCUGCGCGGAAGAUGUAACGGGGCUAAACCAUGCACCGAAGCUGCGGCAGCGACGCUGAUGCGUUGUUGGGUAGGGGAGCGUUCUGUAAGCCUG
RNAcentral lists this ribosomal RNA (427 nucleotides) under Salmonella enterica. RNAcentral's name for it is "partial 23S ribosomal RNA". It matches the Rfam family "Bacterial large subunit ribosomal RNA", at positions 827 to 1251 of the family's 2925-position model. Lineage: Bacteria; Pseudomonadati; Pseudomonadota; Gammaproteobacteria; Enterobacterales; Enterobacteriaceae. The record is from RNAcentral.